CGGACUGCAGUCUGCAACUCGACUGCACGAAGCUGGAAUCGCUAGUAAUCGCGGAUCAGCACGCCGCGGUGAAUACGUUCCCGGGCCUUGCACACACCGCCCGUCACACCAUGGAAGUCUGCAAUGCCCGAAGCCGGUGGCCUAACCACUUAUGUGGAAGGAGCCGUCUAAGGCAGGGCAGAUGACUGGGUGAAGUCGUAACAAGGUAUC
This 210-nucleotide ribosomal RNA is filed under the name uncultured bacterium. RNAcentral's name for it is "partial 16S ribosomal RNA". It matches the Rfam family "Bacterial small subunit ribosomal RNA", at positions 1294 to 1500 of the family's 1533-position model. The record is from RNAcentral.